Molecule: ribosomal RNA, 2893 nt
Filed under: Escherichia coli
Lineage: Bacteria; Pseudomonadati; Pseudomonadota; Gammaproteobacteria; Enterobacterales; Enterobacteriaceae
Description: bacterial LSU rRNA
Rfam family: Bacterial large subunit ribosomal RNA
Source: RNAcentral
ACUAAGCGUACACGGUGGAUGCCCUGGCAGUCAGAGGCGAUGAAGGACGUGCUAAUCUGCGAUAAGCGUCGGUGAGGUGAUAUGAACCGUUAUAACCGGCGAUUUCCGAAUGGGGAAACCCAGUGUGUUUCGACACACUAUCAUUAACUGAAUCCAUAGGUUAAUGAGGCGAACCGGGGGAACUGAAACAUCUAAGUACCCCGAGGAAAAGAAAUCAACCGAGAUUCCCCCAGUAGCGGCGAGCGAACGGGGAGGAGCCCAGAGCCUGAAUCAGUGUGUGUGUUAGUGGAAGCGUCUGGAAAGGCGCGCGAUACAGGGUGACAGCCCCGUACACAAAAAUGCACAUAUUGUGAGCUCGAUGAGUAGGGCGGGACACGUGGUAUCCUGUCUGAAUAUGGGGGGACCAUCCUCCAAGGCUAAAUACUCCUGACUGACCGAUAGUGAACCAGUACCGUGAGGGAAAGGCGAAAAGAACCCCGGCGAGGGGAGUGAAAAAGAACCUGAAACCGUGUACGUACAAGCAGUGGGAGCCUCUUAAUGGGGUGACUGCGUACCUUUUGUAUAAUGGGUCAGCGACUUAUAUUCUGUAGCAAGGUUAACCGAAUAGGGGAGCCGAAGGGAAACCGAGUCUUAACUGGGCGUUAAGUUGCAGGGUAUAGACCCGAAACCCGGUGAUCUAGCCAUGGGCAGGUUGAAGGUUGGGUAACACUAACUGGAGGACCGAACCGACUAAUGUUGAAAAAUUAGCGGAUGACUUGUGGCUGGGGGUGAAAGGCCAAUCAAACCGGGAGAUAGCUGGUUCUCCCCGAAAGCUAUUUAGGUAGCGCCUCGUGAAUUCAUCUCCGGGGGUAGAGCACUGUUUCGGCAAGGGGGUCAUCCCGACUUACCAACCCGAUGCAAACUGCGAAUACCGGAGAAUGUUAUCACGGGAGACACACGGCGGGUGCUAACGUCCGUCGUGAAGAGGGAAACAACCCAGACCGCCAGCUAAGGUCCCAAAGUCAUGGUUAAGUGGGAAACGAUGUGGGAAGGCCCAGACAGCCAGGAUGUUGGCUUAGAAGCAGCCAUCAUUUAAAGAAAGCGUAAUAGCUCACUGGUCGAGUCGGCCUGCGCGGAAGAUGUAACGGGGCUAAACCAUGCACCGAAGCUGCGGCAGCGACACUAUGUGUUGUUGGGUAGGGGAGCGUUCUGUAAGCCUGUGAAGGUGGCCUGUGAGGGUUGCUGGAGGUAUCAGAAGUGCGAAUGCUGACAUAAGUAACGAUAAAGCGGGUGAAAAGCCCGCUCGCCGGAAGACCAAGGGUUCCUGUCCAACGUUAAUCGGGGCAGGGUGAGUCGACCCCUAAGGCGAGGCCGAAAGGCGUAGUCGAUGGGAAACAGGUUAAUAUUCCUGUACUUGGUGUUACUGCGAAGGGGGGACGGAGAAGGCUAUGUUGGCCGGGCGACGGUUGUCCCGGUUUAAGCGUGUAGGCUGGUUUUCCAGGCAAAUCCGGAAAACCAAGGCUGAGGCGUGAUGACGAAGCACUACGGUGCUGAAGCGACAAAUGCCCUGCUUCCAGGAAAAGCCUCUAAGCAUCAGGUAACAUCAAAUCGUACCCCAAACCGACACAGGUGGUCAGGUAGAGAAUACCAAGGCGCUUGAGAGAACUCGGGUGAAGGAACUAGGCAAAAUGGUGCCGUAACUUCGGGAGAAGGCACGCUGAUAUGUAGGUGAAGCGACUUGCUCGUGGAGCUGAAAUCAGUCGAAGAUACCAGCUGGCUGCAACUGUUUAUUAAAAACACAGCACUGUGCAAACACGAAAGUGGACGUAUACGGUGUGACGCCUGCCCGGUGCCGGAAGGUUAAUUGAUGGGGUUAGCGGCAACGCGAAGCUCUUGAUCGAAGCCCCGGUAAACGGCGGCCGUAACUAUAACGGUCCUAAGGUAGCGAAAUUCCUUGUCGGGUAAGUUCCGACCUGCACGAAUGGCGUAAUGAUGGCCAGGCUGUCUCCACCCGAGACUCAGUGAAAUUGAACUCGCUGUGAAGAUGCAGUGUACCCGCGGCAAGACGGAAAGACCCCGUGAACCUUUACUAUAGCUUGACACUGAACAUUGAGCCUUGAUGUGUAGGAUAGGUGGGAGGCUUUGAAGUGUGGACGCCAGUCUGCAUGGAGCCGACCUUGAAAUACCACCCUUUAAUGUUUGAUGUUCUAACGUGGGCCCCUAAUCGGGGUUGCGGACAGUGUCUGGUGGGUAGUUUGACUGGGGCGGUCUCCUCCUAAAGAGUAACGGAGGAGCACGAAGGUUGGCUAAUCCUGGUCGGACAUCAGGAGGUUAGUGCAAUGGCAUAAGCCAGCUUGACUGCGAGCGUGACGGCGCGAGCAGGUGCGAAAGCAGGUCAUAGUGAUCCGGUGGUUCUGAAUGGAAGGGCCAUCGCUCAACGGAUAAAAGGUACUCCGGGGAUAACAGGCUGAUACCGCCCAAGAGUUCAUAUCGACGGCGGUGUUUGGCACCUCGAUGUCGGCUCAUCACAUCCUGGGGCUGAAGUAGGUCCCAAGGGUAUGGCUGUUCGCCAUUUAAAGUGGUACGCGAGCUGGGUUUAGAACGUCGUGAGACAGUUCGGUCCCUAUCUGCCGUGGGCGCUGGAGAACUGAGGGGGGCUGCUCCUAGUACGAGAGGACCGGAGUGGACGCAUCACUGGUGUUCGGGUUGUCAUGCCAAUGGCACUGCCCGGUAGCUAAAUGCGGAAGAGAUAAGUGCUGAAAGCAUCUAAGCACGAAACUUGCCCCGAGAUGAGUUCUCCCUGAGACUUAGAGUCUCCUGAAGGAACGUUGAAGACGACGACGUUGAUAGGCCGGGUGUGUAAGCGCAGCGAUGCGUUGAGCUAACCGGUACUAAUGAACCGUGAGGCUUAACC